GGAGAAGGGCCAUAGCUCAGGGGUUGGAGCACCUGCCUUGCAAGCAGAAGGUUCUUGGUUGGAUGCCCGAUGGCGCCUCUCCA
This is a non-coding RNA of Podarcis lilfordi (Lilford's wall lizard), 83 nucleotides long. The record is from the annotation of a GenBank genome assembly. Lineage: Eukaryota; Metazoa; Chordata; Lepidosauria; Squamata; Lacertidae.